GGGGAGGAGUGAAUGAGGAGUUUAUAGUAUGCAUGGUAGACAGGCCAACCUGCCAUCACUGUGCUUAGUGCUCUGUGUCAAAGGGGCAGCAGAGACAACUGCCUGGGCAGUGAGUUAGAGAAUCGGAACCAUCUAAGGAGGGCUCUCAAAAGCUUCUAGAACCUAUGACCUGUCAGCCUAGAGGGCACUUUUUUUUCAAGUUGGACUGAUGGAUCCACGAUGAUGAGCCCAGGACAGAGAGCUUCAGGGGUGGUAAUGACCAGCAGAUGCAGCUUCAGGAAGUUCAGAGUCUGAGAGGAAAGCAAGCCAAAGCACUUUCCAAAUUUGCUAAACAGGAUCUCCUUCUCCUCUAUACUGAGAGAUUGUCCUAUCCCAGGCACAGAGCCAAGUGCUGAGAAGACAUACCAAAAGGGAAUCAAGUGUCCAACCUCUCAAGGAGCCAUGGACAAUGGAGAAGACAGACAGGACAGAGACAAUCCAUCUUCACUAAGCACAUCGCAGCAGAGUUUUCUGUCAGAGCUCUCUUCUUCCUAAGGCAGAAUGAUACUGUUUGAAAGCGCAAACCAUUUCCUUUAUUCUGUCAGCCAUGAUGCAUGCUGUUGCUGCUUUCGCCUCUGGCCUAGCGUGAAGAGCUGCUGUGAA
Mesocricetus auratus (golden hamster) is the source of this 642-nucleotide long non-coding RNA. RefSeq lists it as uncharacterized. The transcript has 3 exons. NCBI's taxonomy places the organism in Eukaryota, Metazoa, Chordata, Mammalia, Rodentia, Cricetidae. The record is from RefSeq and is a predicted model, not a curated record.